GACACGGCUGAGCGGUCCGCUUUCGGGUGAGUACUGCUUGGCUGGGUCUUUCCUUCUGGGGAACUAGUGUGCUCUUUACUGAGUGUGCUAGGGAUCCAGGACUGUUACUUUGAAAAAAUUAGAGUGUUUAAAGCAGGCUUACGCUUGAAUACAUUAGCAUGGAAUAAUAGAAUAGGACUU
Molecule: ribosomal RNA, 180 nt
Filed under: uncultured Glomeromycotina
Lineage: Eukaryota; Fungi; Glomeromycota
Description: partial small subunit ribosomal RNA
Rfam family: Eukaryotic small subunit ribosomal RNA (bases 47-180)
Source: RNAcentral